RNA transcript from Frankliniella occidentalis (western flower thrips), 2167 nucleotides. RefSeq lists it as uncharacterized. The record is from RefSeq and is a predicted model, not a curated record. Lineage: Eukaryota; Metazoa; Arthropoda; Insecta; Thysanoptera; Thripidae. The transcript has 2 exons.
CAUUUCGAGGCAUUUACACGUAGAUUGAACCUUUAUCCGCAAUUGUGUAACCUUCUACCGGUUUGUCCGCUUGUCAAAAGUUAUUUGUUGCACACAAUAUCAACCUAUGUAGGCUACAAAGGCAAACGCACAAGUAGUACGUAUUUGUUAAAUUUGAUCCCUUAGUUAUUUGAUUAGAUGGUGAAUAGACGCAUAUACUGCCCCACCCCUCACCACGCCAGCCAGUAAUCCCGCACGUCUCUGUAGUUGGCUUCUUAGAUCCACCCAGCGACUUCAGGCCGAGCCUGCCCGGGGGUCUGCCCCCGCGGCCCCUGCGGCGGCCCCUGCUCCCCCUGCUGCAGCGACCCCGCCGGCCCCCGGCCACACCGGGGCUGUUGGAGGGCGCCGAGUCCGUCCCGCGGGAGCAGAUCGUGGCCCCGCCCGUCCGCCAGGAGGCGACCCCCGAGUCCGUGCAGCCGGCGAGACCCUUCACCCCGAGACUGUCGCCGCACUACGUGCAGCGCUUCAGGCUGAGGGGCACUUGGAUGCGGAACGCGCACCUGCUCAGGAGGGCGAUGCGGCGCGUCGACGUGCACGCCAUCAACCGCAUGCUCGAGGUGGACGACGCGCAGGCCGCCAGCGACCUCCACCCGACGUUCGUCGCCGCCCCUGACUUCCAGCUGGAGACCGGGGAUGGUGAUUCGGGGGCGCUUGCAGACGACGACGACAACCUGCGCGAUUACUCGUCACCGCCGACGUCCUACGAAGCACCAGUGUACAUCCUCGCCGCCGGGGACGACGACGAGGGCGAAGGCCUUCCCAAUAGACUGGAGACGCCAGCCGGCGUGCCGCCCAAGUUCGGUCCGUCCGACAGCUCGUUCAGUCCGGGCAGACCCGCUGGCUAUCCCUAUCGCCCCAGCAGACCUGGCCCGCCCUACGAGGAGGACGACGACUCGGUCAACGAACUGUCCCUGGAAGCUUUGUCGACGAGUAUCUCGACGCACACUCGUCCUCGACAAAAUACUGGACAGAAUAUUCGUUUUCCGGUCGACAAAAAGCAGACGAGUCCUGCUCCCGCUGACCGACUGAAUGAGACGAACAGCGCUCCGUUCAUACCGACGCCGCUGCCCCCGGCAGAGCAACCAAGGCCCCGGCCCCCGCCGCCCUCCCAGGGAAGCGUCAAUGACUCGGACUCCCUGUCCACCUGGGACGCGCCCGAGGCUGCCGACGCGGGGUUCUCGGCACCCUCCUUCGAUGAGGAGGACACGGAGCGACCGGAACACACGAUUGCCGUCAACGAGGACCCCCAGGAACCAUACCAACCCCAGGACCACGACGAGGAAACCACACAGCUCAACGGAGAAACGGUGCUGAACGAUGUGAACGGCAACCACCUCGGCAAUGUAGAAGAAGAGCCGGCCUUCAGUUACGACUUGCCGCAGCACCACCCGCAACACCACCAGCAACAUCCGCAUCCCCAUCCACCAUCGAAAAACCACUUUCACCCUCCGAUCGUCAAAUUCCACGUCCACCACGUCCAGAACGGGAACAAUGACGAACACGUGCACAUCGGACUACAGCCGCAUCACCACCAUCAUCAUCAUCACCCGGGUCCUCACCACCAUCAUCACCAUCCCCCCUCUCCCUCCCAUCACCAUCAUCAUCAUCCCCCCCUGCACCACCACCACCAUCCGCACCCUCCGUCCCAGCCUCACCACCACCAUCCGCACCCUCCUUCCGAGCUCCAUCUCUUCCGACCGCAUCGACCACGUCCCCAGCUACCUCCCGCGACCUCCUACGGCGUCCCUGAGUGGCCGGCCUCCGCCUUCGAGGACGACGGCGGCGACGUUCAGACGUACGUGAAGACGUCUCCGGACGGCACCGUGCAGUGGAGCGUGCGGCACAGUGUGGGGUGAAUGUGGGGGAGGGGGCCCCAGGAUACCUUCCAGGACCCACAACGAUCAUGGCAUGCGGAAGACGGGGAGAAAUUGAAGUCGCCAGCGGGGGUAUGGUGAGAAAAGGAUUUGCGAGGAAAGAAAAGGCAUCGUGCCGCUGCACGGCGUGACCCCGGGGCCGACGGACCUGCCGCUGCACACCUGGGAGCGCGCCGCGGCGGCGUGGAAGCGGCGCCAGGAGGAGGUGCUGGCCGCGGAGGAAGAGGAGGAGGCCGUGGCCGAGCAGCGGCGCC